CCUACGGGAGGCAGCAGUAGGGAAUUUUCGGCAAUGGGGGGAACCCUGACCGAGCAACGCCGCGUGAACGAAGAAGUUAUUCGUAAUGUAAAGUUCUUUUAACAGGGAAGAAAGAGAAAUUUGACGGUACCUGAAGAAUAAGCUCCGGCAAACUACGUGCCAGCAGCCAGGGUAAUACGUAGGGAGCGAGCGUUAUCCGGAAUUAUUGGGCGAAAAGGGUGCGUAGAUGGCAUAGUAAGUCUUUUGUAAAAAUGCUGGGCUAAACCCAGUAGGGCAAAAGAUACUGCAAAGCUAGAGUAUGACAGAGGCAAGUGGAACUAGAUGUGUAGCGGUAAAAUGCGUAAAUAUAUGUAAGAACACCAGUGGCGAAGGCGGCUUGCUGGGUCGAUACUGACAUUGAGGCACGAAAGCGUGGGGAGCAAACAGGAUUAGAUACCCCAGUAGUC
This 446-nucleotide ribosomal RNA is filed under the name uncultured bacterium. RNAcentral's name for it is "partial 16S ribosomal RNA". It matches the Rfam family "Bacterial small subunit ribosomal RNA", at positions 338 to 795 of the family's 1533-position model. The record is from RNAcentral.